UGGGGAAUAUUGGACAAUGGGGGCAACCCUGAUCCAGCCAUGCCGCGUGUGUGAAGAAGGCCUUUUGGUUGUAAAGCACUUUAAGCAGUGAAGAAGACUCCAUGGUUAAUACCCAUGGACGAUGACAUUAGCUGCAGAAUAAGCACCGGCUAACUCUGUGCCAGCAGCCGCGGUAAUACAGAGGGUGCAAGCGUUAAUCGGAAUUACUGGGCGUAAAGCGAGCGUAGGGGGCUUGAUAAGUCAGAUGUGAAAGCCCCGGGCUUAACCUGGGAACGGCAUCUGAUACUGUUAGGCUAGAGUAGGUGAGAGGAAGGUAGAAUUCCAGGUGUAGCGGUGAAAUGCGUAGAGAUCUGGAGGAAUACCGAUGGCGAAGGCAGCCUUCUGGCAUCAUACUGACACUGAGGUUCGAAAGCGUGGGUAGCAAACA
Molecule: ribosomal RNA, 427 nt
Filed under: uncultured bacterium
Lineage: Bacteria
Description: partial 16S ribosomal RNA
Rfam family: Bacterial small subunit ribosomal RNA
Source: RNAcentral